RNAcentral lists this ribosomal RNA (972 nucleotides) under uncultured bacterium. RNAcentral's name for it is "bacterial SSU rRNA". It matches the Rfam family "Bacterial small subunit ribosomal RNA", at positions 8 to 1012 of the family's 1533-position model. The record is from RNAcentral.
AGAGUUUGAUCAUGGCUCAGAAUCAACGCUGGCGGCGCGCUUAACACAUGCAAGUCGCACGAGAAAGUGGAGCAAUCCAUGAGUAAAGUGGCGUACGGGUGAGUAACACGUGGAUCAUCUACCUCCUAGUGGGGAAUAACCCUGGGAAACCGGGGCUAAUACCGCAUAAGCCUGGAAAGGGAAAGCAGCAAUGCGCUGGGAGAGGAGUCCGCGGCCGAUUAGCUAGUUGGUAGGGUAAAGGCCUACCAAGGCAAUGAUCGGUAGCCGGCCUGAGAGGGCACACGGCCACACUGGCACUGAAACACGGGCCAGACUCCUACGGGAGGCAGCAGUGGGGAAUCUUGCACAAUGGGGGCAACCCUGAUGCAGCGACGCCGCGUGAGCGAUGAAGCCCUUCGGGGUGUAAAGCUCUUUCGGCAGGAACGAUAAUGACGGUACCUGAAGAAGAAGCUGCGGCUAACUACGUGCCAGCAGCCGCGGUAAUACGUAGGCAGCAAGCGUUGUUCGGAGUUACUGGGCGUAAAGAGUGGGUAGGCGGUUCUCUAAGUUCGGUGUGAAAUCUCCCGGCUCAACUGGGAGGGUGCGCCGGAAACUGGAGGGCUGGAGUAUGGGAAGGGAAAGCGGAAUUCCUGGUGUAGCGGUGAAAUGCGUAGAUAUCAGGAGGAACACCUGUGGUGAAGACGGCUUUCUGGACCAUCACUGACGCUGAGACACGAAAGCGUGGGUAGCAAACAGGAUUAGAUACCCUGGUAGUCCACGCCCUAAACGAUGCAUACUUGGUGUGAGCCGUUCAUUCGGUUCGUGCCGGAGCUAACGCGUUAAGUAUGCCGCCUGGGGAGUACGGUCGCAAGGCUGAAACUCAAAGGAAUUGACGGGGCCCGCACAAGCGGUGGAGCAUGUGGUUCAAUUCGACGCAACGCGAAGAACCUUACCUGGGCUCGAACGGCUUCUCAACGGCGGUGGAAACAUCGC